ACAAGUGUUUUCCACUACAGAGGAACGACUGUUCCCUGCUUCUGUAAGAAACGUUUCGCACUCAUAAUUUGUGUCAUAUAAUCAACUUGAAAGACACCGUCCGCUGCAAGUCUCUCCGUCUACGCGUCCGCUCACGACAAUGUCAACAAGAACAACGUAUAGAUUGGGUCGUCAAUGUCCGACCUCUAACCUCUAAUAGACGCCGGCUUGCAGACAUAGCGUAAGGAGCAGAUAUCAACAUUUCGUAAACGGUGCGUCCUACGGCUCGAUAUCCCGUGUUUCAUUUGGUUCUAGAAACCAUGAUUAACUAACCAAAUAUGCAUUCUCCUUGCUCGACUCGGCUCGGCUCGUUUAUCGUUCCGAACAUUUAGCUCUACUCCACAAUUCUGCUUUAAGCCAUAAGCAAAUUCACUAACCAUUAUUCCAAGGAUAAUCAACUGUGGUUUGUCAAUUUGCUUAUGGCUUAAAGCAAGACUGUGAGCUAGAGCUUUGGCACUUGUUACUCAUUCGCUUGUUAACAUUCAUUUAUCUUUCACUCGAUACACGAACAAAUUGUUGAGAAACGCGCCAAAUCAUGAUUUCGCGGACCAAUUAACGCGACUUGCGGGUAUUCGGCGCUUCUACGAAUCAGAACGCGUUAAAACGAAGUAGCCGAUGUGAAGUUGCCGGCGCGUCAUUUCAGUGGCGAUUAUUAAAGAGAGACAAGUGUCUUCCAUUACGGUAGGACGACAUACUUCUUGCUCCCAUAAGAAAUAUUCCGAUCUCGUAAUUUGUGUAAGACAAAUAGUUCGAAAGACACUGUCCGCAGCUAACUUCUUCGUUCACGCGUCUGUUUGCGAUCGAGUGUCGACAGCGUCUUGAUCACAGGUGUCUAACCUUUAACAGACACUCGAGUGGAAAUACGUAUCAACUGGCAGUAAAUAUCAGAACGCAGCCAGUGUGUCUUAAUCGUUCCGGGCACUACAAUCAACUACACGGGAAGAAAAGAUUUCACUACCGCAUCUAAUCAUGGUUUCGUGAAAGUGUGUUUUUGCUGCUAUAAGAUUAACAUGUCAAAAAUAAAGAUAGAAUGGAAGAAGAAACAUAGGAAUAUCCUCUUCUCUGUGCACAUUGGUUCCUCAAGUGAGAGGUAAACGACCGCACGCGAGCAAUUACAGCGAGCAACUGAGCGGAGCUACGCUGCUCUGAGACGUGCGGAGGGGAGAGGGGAGAGGUAGGGAGAGGUAGCAUGAGCCGUGCCGCGGCAUACUUUCACUUACGCAAGACGUCGUAGCGACUGGAAACAAGAACCGCUGGAAAGGGAAAAUUGUUGCACUUCCGAUGGACGUAGAAUCAUCCUUCUGUGAUGUGAGGAUCAAAUGGUGCACUCUUAUCGCGCGAAAAUAACGGCCGCACGGCAGACGAAGUUCCGGAGGAUGUAGUUUCUGCAAAACGCGGAUGCCGUACCGGAGAAUCCGGUUCGGGCCGAGCAGACUCGACUCGAAGAUUUAAACAGCAGGACAAAAUAGAGCCCGAGUUCCGCGUAUUUGGUGAGUGACAAAAUACUAAGAUUUCAAGGUGGUGUUUAGACGUGGGUAGUUCAGACAUAGUUGUAGAAAAUUUUGUAGGAAUCAAUGCGAUUUACUAUGCUGGUAGAUCUUUCCAUAUUCACACACAGAAAAAUAUCAUUCUGCUGUUGAGAAAAACAAUUACUCAGUUUAUUCUUCCUCUCUUAGCAGUAGUUAAUUUUAAUAGAGAAUAUUUACUCUAAAGGAGAGUAUGCAGGAGAGUGUGCAAGUUUUGGCACUUUUUCAUAGGAUUUUGUAAAACUUUAAUUAUUCCAAUAAAAUGAUACAUUGAUUUAAAGCUUAGGACGAGUAGAUUAAGGAUAUAAAAUCUCAAUAUUAUUCUCGUAGUCGUUUGGAAGAUAACCGGUUCAAAAAUCGCAAUCGUAACAAAUAGCAACAAAUAGCGCAAUACUGUUAUGAUUGCAAUAUUUUGGACCGUUUAUCUUUCAGAUGACUACGAGGAUAAUUACAGACAUGUAAAUCUUCAGGAUACUUAAAACAAGUAACAUUUACUUAAGUGCAGUAUAUAUUCUUUUGUGUGUUUUUGAAUAUUUACGUUACGUUA
This is a long non-coding RNA of Odontomachus brunneus, 2112 nucleotides long. RefSeq lists it as uncharacterized. NCBI's taxonomy places the organism in Eukaryota, Metazoa, Arthropoda, Insecta, Hymenoptera, Formicidae. The record is from RefSeq and is a predicted model, not a curated record. The transcript has 6 exons.